This 485-nucleotide ribosomal RNA is filed under the name Cotesia flavipes. RNAcentral's name for it is "partial 16S ribosomal RNA". The record is from RNAcentral. Lineage: Eukaryota; Metazoa; Arthropoda; Insecta; Hymenoptera; Braconidae.
AAAAUAAUUUUAAGUCUAAUCUGCUCAAUGAAUAAUUUUAAAUAGCUGCAGUAUAAAUAACUGUACAAAGGUAGCAUAAUAAUUUGUUUUUUAAUUAAAAACUAGAAUGAAUGAUUAAAUGAAAUAUAGACUAUAUCAAACUUAAAAAAUAAAUUUAUUAUUUAAAUAAAAAAAUUUAAAUAACUUUUAAAGACGAGAAGACCCUAAAGAAUUUAAAUAAUAAUUUAAAAUAAUAAUUUAUAAAUUAUUAUAUUAAUUGGGGAAAUUUUAAAAUUUAAAAAAUUUUUAAUUAAAUAAACAUAUAUUUUUGAAUAUAUAAAAUUUUUUAAAAAAUUAAAUUAAAUUACCUUAGGGAUAACAGCAUAAUUUUUUUAAAAAGUUCAAAUUUAUAAAAAAGUUUAUGACCUCGAUGUUGAAUUAAGAUUAAAUUUAAUAGAAAAAUAUUAAAAAUUUAAGUCUGUUCGACUUUUAAAAUCUUACAUGAU